Molecule: long non-coding RNA, 5781 nt
Filed under: Coffea arabica (coffee)
Lineage: Eukaryota; Viridiplantae; Streptophyta; Magnoliopsida; Gentianales; Rubiaceae
Description: long non-coding RNA (CARA_LNC008154)
Source: RNAcentral
AAGAAACUUCUUCCUCCCGUAGUCCCUCUUCAACAUGGAGAUUGGAUGAAGCUCAUCACCUACUAGAGCUCCACCCUAACUCGAUUGAUAUCUUCCACGACCAUGAGCUUAAGCUUCAUUAGACGGUAACGGUAAAUGGCAUUGACUUCAAUCUGAAGGGGAUGAAUAUUAGGAGGAGCCGAAAUUAGUGAGGUGAAGCAGUGGAGGUUGCAGAUGAUAAUGUAAAGUUUCAUCAGUUGCAUUGCUAUUAUUUGAGGUAAUUCUAUUGUACUUGUGUAUGAAACAUGUUAAUUACAAAUCCAUUUUUGCUAAUUUAGGGAGAAUUUGUUAAACCUAAAACCCUAACACCAAAAUUAGGAUUUGCAAUUGUGAAGGUAUUUCAGAGCACAGAUGAGAGCUGGGUUGCUGUCUUGUGAUUGGGGAAGUAAUAAAAAUUUAGGAAAAUGUAGGAGGAUAGCUCAAUUUGUUGGACACUGGACUCCUACAUUGGCGCAAUAGAGGCAACGCCGCUGGAGUGGGCAAGUGAAUGAAUGAAACUGCCUUGCUACUUUUUUUUUCCUUGAGAAUAUCACAUAAUUCACGCUGCCUUCUUGCUUUCUUGUUUGGAAGACGAAGAAAAAGAAAUUUAAACAGUGACAGCUUUUGAGAAUUUGAGUCAUGGUUGUGUAAAAGCUUACAUUGCUGGGCUAUUGUCAUUGUUCUUGAGUAUAUAUAAUCACUGUCCAAAACAAUCUGACAUGUCACAAUGCUUAAGAAUCUUUGCUUGUUGUCCUUAAAAAGCAACAAUGUAGUUUUAGUUGGUAAUGUUGGGCACCUGUUUUCUUCGUUUUUUGGAGAGAUUUACAACUCGAAUGAAUUUGAGAUUAACACUAGCUAUUGCUAAUCAAUAUUCAAUACCAAAUACUAGAAUUUUGAUGAAAGGUGGAAUUCAUGUCAUUUUGGGCUAUUCAUUUUUUCAUUAUGUAUAUAUCCAAACUUUGCAGCUCUUAGAUUUAAUUUGUGCAUCUUUGUUAAAGCGAUAAAGUCACACUUUAAUUUGGGAGUAUUUGUUAAAGUCAAGCCUUAGUUAGUAAAGGUUUCCAUUUCGUCUUCAAUUCAUAGUUAGUAAAGUCAGGUUUACCUUGUUGUUUAUUACGAGUUUGUUUCUUUGCUAAGCAUAGUAGUGGUUUGUCAUAACUCAUAAGAAUUAGCAAGGGUCAAUAGUGUUAACAAACAACUUUGGUAUGUGAUUUUUAGGUCUACAAUUAUUCAGUAAUAUAACAUAUUUUUUUAAUUUAAAGGCAUGUUGAUUAGCCUCCCCCUCCAAGGUUCCCUCAAUGCUAUAGCCACGUGCAUCUACUGCCACUCCAUUGAUCUUGGAAAGUCCAGUAUUUGUCUCUGCGAGUAAUGAAGGAGGAAAUGAAGCUAUUACAAUGUCAAUAGGCAAUUCUUCUCCUCUUGGGCUCUAUUGCCUGGCAUUCACGUACCAAACAACUGCAAGAAUGACUAUGGGUAUCAUCUUUAGAGCAUCCAUUCUCAUGGGAUUGCUUUGCUAUGGUUUGCUUUCUAGUCCAGCAAUUGCCAUGUCCAAUGUAACAAAUGAGACAUGGCUGAUAUACCAGGGUCGAUGCACAACAAUUCCAGAGUGUAUUGCAAUUUGUAAGUAAGAAAAAUACGCUGAUGGAGGCGUUUGCAAAAAGCCUUCUAGUGAUUCACCCUACGUUAAUUGCUAUUGCAUAGCCUAUUGAAUUAUAAGAAGCCUUGGAAUUGUGUGAUCUUUGCGUGAUGAUUCUGAGUUAUUAUGGAAUGAAUAAUUAUUUUGAUGAAUAAUAGCAAUUUAUUUUACUAAAAAAAAAAGGGAAAUGAAGCUAUUGCUCCUGGAAAUGAAAGUGGUACUUUGAAUACCAAUAGAGGACAAGCGACAACCCGGGACAAUAAUGCUCAAAAGGAAUGGUAAGUGAAGGAGAUGGUCAAUUUCAUAUGCCUAAAAGAAAUAAAAUGUUAGAGGCAUGGGAUGACUUCGACGAAUUUCAAGGAGUGUGAUGACUCACCUUCUUCUAGGGCGUAUCCUAAAAGUUAGCGGAUUGCCUGCCUAACUCUCUUCAGGAUUCACUAAUGUCACAUUAACUUCAGAGAUACCAGUUAGAUAACUCUCACAAAUAUUUACAUUAACUUCAAAGAUAACAUCUGAUAAGACAAAACCCAACCGUUCAAGUCUUUCACAAUACCUAGUUUAAUACAAAAGCUUCAACCCUUAAUAGGAUAUUAAAGGGGUGCACAUACACAAAAGUCUUUACGCUAACUUGCUAAGAUCCCCCGUUCAAACCCUGACCACCAAUUCCUAUAAGGAAAACAAACUAAACGGUUGAGUUAAAGUUUAGUGAGGUUUACCAAGGAAGUAACAUUUAACAAACACUUGAAAUAGUACAAUUAAGCAAGUAAUGCACAUUUCACUAUUCAAACACUUUCAAAGGAUACAAACUACUCCUGAGAGUCAUUUCAACAUCAUUGUACAUUCCGCCAAUUCAUUCCCUUAUAUCCUCCAAAACUAAUAAACGAUCCCCUCAAUUCAGUGAUCAGUUCGAUAAUCCACCAACUUCUAGGUAAUACUCGAGUAUACCGAAACAUUUAUCCAGAGCUUCCGUUCUAUCCGACAAAGCCUUUUGCUGGCUCGAAUAGCCCGUUGAACAAAGGAUUUUGGGCCCAGUUCACCUAAUGCGGCUUACAUUCAUGCACAUAUAUAAUAUCAUUUGAUCAAUUAUCAACCUUCAAGUUCAACUAAGCCGUGUGCGAUAUAGUACAUCCCCGACUUAGAAGGCGAUGGACAAUUGAUUUACACAUUACAAGGAUUCACUAGCAAUAUCCAUAGUACAUACAUUUAUCACAUAAUUUCAUUUAAGAACAUAAACAGUUAAGCAUAUAGUUCGGCAACACUCACUAAAUAUUCAAAUAACUACUCUCAGGCUUCAGGGUGGCUUCCUGGCUCACAGCUACUUCCUGAAGCAAGUUAAUAAUUUUAAAGUAAAUACAUAAUUUGUAGAUGUUCACUUAUUGUUCUUACCUUACCAUUUGAACUAUUAAAAUCAAGUUUGACUUUAAAAUACAAAAUAUAACAUGUUUAAUAUUCAUUUAUCAUUUUAUUUUGAAACUUAUUGACUUUAUUGUUUUAAUCAAGAAAUAUACAUAUUUUUCAAGUUAAUAAUUUAUAAAAUAUUUAUUUUAGGAUUAAAUCAUUUUCCACUGAAGAUUCUAAGAUUAAGGCUUGCGAAUAUUCCAUUGGUUCCUUUUAACUAGUUAAACUUUAGGUUAUUUGGAAAUCAAAUUUAAUUCCAUUACACCAACCCCUCAAAUUUUAUAAUCUUUAAAAUAUUCAUGAAGACAAGAUUAAGUAAUUAAAAGGCAAUUUAUGUAUAUAAUACGAGUUUUCCUCUCAUUUACCUUAGUUUAACUCUACUCGUAGAACUAGAUAUAGUCAUUAAAUCUCAGAGCAACCGUAACUAUCAUUUAUGUAAGCUUACAAAGUUGGAAUUAGCAGAAUUGCUGUUCAAAAUUUGGUUUGCUCAAUGCCAGCAUCAAAGCAAGUUGCAUUCGGGAAACAAGAGAAAGGCAACGAGAAGGGCAGCUUUGCCAUCCUCUGAGGUUUUGAUCACAAGUGAAGCUACACUCAUCGAAUUGAGGCAAAUGUUAUAGCGUUUCGAAGCUAAGACAUAGACCUACAUUUCCUAUAAAGACAUCAAUAUCUAGUUCUUGCAUUUUCAAGGUCAAAAGUGGACGGUCAGAAGCACAUUCUGCUUCAUUCUCUCGGACAUCAACCUGCAAUCAGUCGGGUUCAAGAGCUCUGCUUUACUCACAUUGGGUUCAGGUUAUUUCGGUCUUACUUGCUGAGGUUAAGGGACUUAUGAUAUUUUACAACUUAAUACACUAGUUUAGAAGCUAUGAUUUGCAAGAAAUAGCCAAGAUUUCUUAUGUUUUCUUUCUCGGAUGAAGCCAACAGGUUCAGCAGUGUAGCAGUUUAAUACAGGGGCGGAUUUACAGUGGGGGCACUGGGGGCACGGGCCCCCACUGCCCUCCUUAAAUUCCUAUAAUACUCCUAUAAUUUUGAUACAAUUUUAAUGGUGCCCCCAGAAUUUUUUUAAAAAAAUAUGAAAGAAUGGGUCACAAAAUUUAUAUCAUUCACUUUCCUCCUCUAAGGACCAGAUAUCAAUUAUAUCAGUCAUUACUUUUGGUCCCCACUCUCCAAGUUUCCUUUACUCCUGUGGUCCCCAUUUCACUUCAUAACCCACGACUCCUCUUCUUCCACACCCAACUAACUACUCUUUCUUUUUAUUACUUCAUCCAAUCAACAUUAAUCAUUUACUUCCUUUGUCCCCAUUCCCCAAUUUUCUUUUCCUCUUUUGCCUCUUGGUUGUCCCCACUGAAAAUGGUCUCUCCCAUCAAAUAGUCCGAUCCUGGUUUUCCUGUCAUGAAAAUGGUGUUGUUGACUACUUCAAACAGUGUUCCAUUAAAGGAGUAGGCUUUUUGAAAACCAAGACCUGCUUUCUUCAGUUCAACCGCAAGAAACCAGUCCUUGAAGCUGACUUCUUUCCAAUUAAAUAACGUGAUAUGGGGCACAAAGGAAGUAAAGGGACCUGAGUCUGCCACAGUGCCACUGAUUUGCAACUCUUUUCACCAAUUUUGGGAGACCAUUAAAAUCAGGUUCUAAACAAUUACUUAUUAUUAUUAUUAUUUUAAAUUUGUUUGCAAAUAUAUUUCUAGAGCAUGAGAUUAUUACUGUUUUAGAGAAAUUUGAAAAUUGAUUAGUUAAUGUAAUAACUAAUAAAUGGGUUAUUUGAUAUUUGAUAAAUAUUUUAACUUGUGAAAUGGUGAUUUUAUAGAUUUAUAAUUUAUAAUUUAUUUUUUAUUUUCCUUGAUUAGUUUCUUAUUUGGAGUUAAUGUAAUGAUGAAUAGAGGGCCAUUUGACAUAUAUUUUAACUUUUAAAUUAUUCUUAUAUGGAUCCUUUUGUCUAAUUAACUUGAUUAUGUUCAUAUAUUCUGAUUAAUGAUUUGAUAUAGUAAUGAAUGAAUAAGUUGUGAUUUGAUAUAGUAAUGAUAUGUUGUGAUUAAUGAUUUAAUAAAUAACUUUAACUUGUAAAAUAGUUCUUGGAUAGAUUAUUAGAUUUUAUUGUACAUUUAAUAUUUUAAUUGGAUUAGUAUCUUAUAUAUUGAUUUUAAUUUCUUUAGCUAUGGAGAGAUAUUUCAAGAGGAAAUCAAUGGAAAAAGAGCCAUCUAAUAAAGAAGAAGCCAAGGAUAAUGAAGGUGCAAAAAAUGACAAUAAAAGAAAUUUUUAAAUAAAAUUAUUAUUACAUUAAUAAUUUUGAGUUUGUCUUUUUACGUUUUUCAUGGAAUAUACAUAUCAAUUGUACUUGUUAGUGAAUUUAUUUAUUUUUUGCUCAAAAAAUUAAAAAAAGAGUAGAUAAAAAAUUUUAGUAUUAUUUGUGCCCCCACUAAGAUUUUUUUCUGGCUCCGCCCCUGGGGACCAAAGAAAAGAAAUGUCACAAAAUAAGAAGUCUUGAAGAAACUUCUUCCUCCCGUAGUCCCUCUUCAACAUGGAGAUUGGAUGAAGCUCAUCACCUACUAGAGCUCCACCCUAACUCGAUUGAUAUCUUCCACGACCAUGAGCUUAAGCUUCAUUAGACGGUAACGGUAAAUGGCAUUGACUUCAAUCUGAAGGGGAUGAAUAUUAGGAGGAGCCGAAAUUAGUGAGGUGAAGCAGUGGAGGUUGCAGAUGAUAAUGUAAAGUUUCAUCAGUUGCAUUGCUAUUAU